RNAcentral lists this ribosomal RNA (303 nucleotides) under uncultured bacterium. Its description in RNAcentral is "partial 16S ribosomal RNA". It matches the Rfam family "Bacterial small subunit ribosomal RNA", at positions 507 to 807 of the family's 1533-position model. The record is from RNAcentral.
AGCAGUAGCCGCGGUAAUACGUAGGUGGCAAGCGUUGUCCGGAAUUAUUGGGCGUAAAGGGCUCGCAGGCGGUUUCUUAAGUCUGAUGUGAAAGCCCCCGGCUCAACCGGGGAGGGUCAUUGGAAACUGGGAAACUUGAGUGCAGAAGAGGAGAGUGGAAUUCCACGUGUAGCGGUGAAAUGCGUAGAGAUGUGGAGGAACACCAGUGGCGAAGGCGACUCUCUGGUCUGUAACUGACGCUGAGGAGCGAAAGCGUGGGGAGCGAACAGGAUUAGAUACCCGAGUAGUCCCUGUCUCUUAUAC